AUGCAUCUUUGACAGACCUGGAGCAGUUAACAUCUGCUCCUAAGACUUCCACUAAAGAUACAAGAAAAAGAAGGUACUCAUGCUUUCUGUCUGCUCGCUGUGGCAGCAAGAUUGAAUGGGGGAAUACAGGG
This 131-nucleotide small nucleolar RNA is filed under the name Dasypus novemcinctus (nine-banded armadillo). RNAcentral describes it as "Small nucleolar RNA SNORA31 (ENSDNOG00000041831.1)". It matches the Rfam family "Small nucleolar RNA SNORA31". Rfam says of the family: ACA31 (SNORA31) belongs to the H/ACA class of snoRNAs which are thought to guide the sites of modification of uridines to pseudouridines. Lineage: Eukaryota; Metazoa; Chordata; Mammalia; Cingulata; Dasypodidae. The record is from RNAcentral.